AGAGGUGAGGGUGAUAAAAAAAUCGUAUAAAAGGAGAGAGAAAAGGCGAAGGUAAGUCAGUCGAGGGAGCAUCUCCGACACGGCAACAACUGCAGCGCACUAUCUGUCACCAUCUGCCAUCUUCACCGUAUAGUCAGUUCGCAUCCAUGGCAAACUAUGGCGUAGUGCUGUUGUUGUGUGUUGAAUCAUUGAUGGCUGGGUCGACCACUGGUGUACCGAUGUCUUCUUGGUAUGGUGGAUAUCAAACCGCAACGACGCCGCCUUAUUACCCAAAAGCAACGCAACGACCAGUUACUGCACCGAGGUCUUCAAGUACUACACCACUAAAGCACCGGACUUUAAUAGCACAAUUUACGCUGCCCCGAGCCACUACACUGACGCCCUGAAGUAUUGCUCUGCCCCGAAUUACUACACCACCAAGCAAGCAAGGAGCAUGACUACGCAUGUUGCCUCAUCCUACUACACCGAGGCUCCAAACUGCUACACCGAGGCUCCCGCUGUUUACUACACCGAAGCGGCAAAGUACUACUCUGC
Daphnia pulex (common water flea) is the source of this 534-nucleotide long non-coding RNA. RefSeq lists it as uncharacterized. Lineage: Eukaryota; Metazoa; Arthropoda; Branchiopoda; Diplostraca; Daphniidae. The transcript is spliced from 3 exons. The record is from RefSeq and is a predicted model, not a curated record.